CCGCGUGUGCGAAGAAGGCCUUCGGGUUGUAAAGCACUUUUGUCAGGGAAGAAAUCCUUUGGGCUAAUACCCUAGGGGGAUGACGGUACCUGAAGAAUAAGCACCGGCUAACUACGUGCCAGCAGCCGCGGUAAUUAGUAGGGUGCAAGCGUUAAUCGGAA
This 161-nucleotide ribosomal RNA is filed under the name uncultured bacterium. Its description in RNAcentral is "partial 16S ribosomal RNA". It matches the Rfam family "Bacterial small subunit ribosomal RNA", at positions 397 to 550 of the family's 1533-position model. The record is from RNAcentral.